CCUACGGGUGGCAGCAGUGAGGAAUAUUGGUCAAUGGGCGCGAGCCUGAACCAGCCAAGUCGCGUGAGGGAUGAAGGCCCUAUGGAUCGUAAACCUCUUUUAUAAGGGAAUAAAGUGUGGGACGUGUCCUCUUUUGUAUGUACCUUAUGAAUAAGGAUCGGCUAACUCCGUGCCAGCAGCCGCGGUAAUACGGAGGAUCCGAGCGUUAUCCGGAUUUAUUGGGUUUAAAGGGUGCGUAGGCGGCUUUUUAAGUCAGCUGUGAAAGUCUGUGGCUCAACCAUAGAAUUGCCGUUGAAACUGGCAGGCUUGAGUACGGUUGAGGUAGGCGGAAUGCGUGGUGUAGCGGUGAAAUGCUUAGAUAUCACGCAGAACCCCGAUUGCGAAGGCAGCUUGCCAAGCCGUGACUGACGCUGAUGCACGAAAGCGUGGGGAUCAAACAGGAUUAGAUACCCGAGUAGUC
Molecule: ribosomal RNA, 460 nt
Filed under: uncultured bacterium
Lineage: Bacteria
Description: partial 16S ribosomal RNA
Rfam family: Bacterial small subunit ribosomal RNA
Source: RNAcentral